CCCUUAGAUGUUCUGGGCCGCACGCGUGCUACACUGAGUGGAUCAGCGGGUCAGGUUGCGCGAAAGCGUUUCCUAAUCUUUAAAUCCGCUCGUGAUGGGGAUUGACGGUUGCAAUUUUCUGUCAUGAACGAGGAAUACCUUGUAAGCGCGGGACAUCAUCCCGCGCUGAAUACGUCCCUGCCCUUUGUACACACCGCCCGUCGCUCCUACCGAUUGAGUGGUCCGGUGAGGCUUUGGGAUCUGAGCGGAAAGAGCGUUUCGCUGUUUCUGCUCGGAAAACUCAGUCGAACCUUAUCAUUUAGAGGAAGGAGAAGUCGUAACA
RNAcentral lists this ribosomal RNA (322 nucleotides) under uncultured eukaryote. RNAcentral's name for it is "partial 18S ribosomal RNA". It matches the Rfam family "Eukaryotic small subunit ribosomal RNA", at positions 1470 to 1796 of the family's 1831-position model. The record is from RNAcentral.